AGCGAACGCUAGCGGCGGGCCUAACACAUGCAAGUCGAGCGCAUACCUUCGGGUAUGAGCGGCGGACGGGUGAGUAACGCGUAGGUCAUCUACCCUUUGGUGGGGGAUAACCCAGGGAAACUUGGGCUAAUACCGCACGAGGUCUACGGAUCAAAGCCUUCGGGCGCCAGAGGAUGAGCCUGCGUCGCAUUACCUAGUUGGCGGGGUAACGGCCCACCAAGGGGACGAUGCGUAGCUGGUCUGAGAGGAUGAUCAGCCACACUGGGACUGAGACACGGCCCAGACUCCUACGGGAGGCAGCAGUGGGGAAUAUUGCGCAAUGGGGGAAACCCUGACGCAGCCACGCCGCGUGGGUGAUGAAGGCCUUCGGGUUGUAAAGCCCUGUCGGGAGGGACGGAAUUCUUGACGGUACCUCCAAAGAAAGCACCGGCUAACUCCGUGCCAGCAGCCGCGGUAAU
Molecule: ribosomal RNA, 458 nt
Filed under: uncultured bacterium
Lineage: Bacteria
Description: bacterial SSU rRNA
Rfam family: Bacterial small subunit ribosomal RNA
Source: RNAcentral